GUUCUUAUCCCGGACCACUCGCCCCAGGGUGUUCUGGGAUAGAUGUCUCAUGGGGGGAGUGUGCCACUCAUUUGCUGACACAAGCACAAGAUGACAAGGCCUGGACCAUUUUAAACUCUCUGCCAGAUUUGGAUCCUGAGGGUCUUUGGACUUUGCUUCGCAAAUAUGAGCGUGAACUUCACAGACCCAGUUUCCACAACCUGCGUGAAGUUUUGCUGUCACAUGUACCAGCACACGCCAGCAGAGGCACCAGCGCCAUGAACACUCACACUGAGAGAGAGAGAAGACUCAACAGGGACAAGAAGAGCCAUCAGAUGGUGAAAAACAAGAACUCUGCACUGGUAUAUGACAAACAUUUAUAUGCCGGACAAUUAAUAUAAUGCCUUAAAAAUUAAGCAUUAAACAG
Molecule: long non-coding RNA, 406 nt
Organism: Cyprinus carpio carpio
Lineage: Eukaryota; Metazoa; Chordata; Actinopteri; Cypriniformes; Cyprinidae
Source: Ensembl